UUUGUUAUUUGCUUGGUCCGCGAAAAAUUUGAUUUCCUAUCCGAAGUUUGGAGUGUUGUGAAUCGUUUUCGGGCAAGAACAAUUAAGAAGAUAGUGUUGGCCACAACGCGAAAAGAAUAAAGGAAGCGGAUUACAAAAACCACCCGAAAAAUGAGGAAAAACCAGUCGACGGCGCACCUUUUGAUCGGCGACUGUUUUGCUGAUAUUGCAGCAAGAAUGUGGAAUUCAAUCACCAGUAAACGAUCCCAGCUUGAGUUAUUUGGAAUUUUUUUUAAUAGACCCGGGAAAAGCUUUUCGAAGAGAGUGGGAAAUAUUCCUGAUGCACCGGGAAGUGAAUGCAACGGCGCUAAUUGUACGGUCAUCCGACCGAACAAUAUUUCUGCAUUGCAGGAACCGGAAAACCGAUCUGUCCAAUUCACGCUGUUCUGGCGGUUUUGAAGUUGGCCCGAAUCCAGUUGAUGUAGGUAGCGCAGAUUGCAUUCGUCAUUGCUGAGAAAGCGUCAGCAGGUUUGAAACGGCUUGAUUCGGAAAAAAUCCGGUUUUGUGAAGUUUUGGCAACUUUAUGAGAGUUUGAAUUAUCUGGAUCUCAUGAAUCCUAAUGCCCAUAUCAAGAUUUUUGAUGCGUAAAUCGACAUGAGGAAUCUUUCACGGUUGGAUCGUAAGAUUGAAUAAAUGCAUCUGAAAAUUAACGCUCACCAAAUGAAAAAAUUACUACAACAAAAAUCUCAACUAUUGCUAUUGUUCGAUAAACCAGCUAAAUGAACCUGUAGCCACAUACAACAGAAAAAAUGAAGCUGUAUUAGGAGGAGAUUCAGUCUGCAGAUUACUAGUGGGAAUUGGCUUAAUUUCAAAGCAAGUCCUACUUCUAAUUAGCUGAUUGAUGGUGAUUAGGUUGGGUGAUGUAAGCUUGUACCAACACUGGAGAUCGCUAUUGAACUCGGAAUUUCAUUUCGGAAAAGGUUGAACGAUCCGUAGACAUGAAAGCAAUCUGUCGUCACAUCAUGACAUUUAGUGUCGAUAAGUGAAUUCCGAGAAAAACUUUUUGAUGAAUUCUAAAUUGGCACAGCAUUUAAAAUCCUUGAUAAACUGUUUCCUAACAUAAGCUAUGGCCACGAAAAAGACCUUUAUCAAAUUUUUGUAAUGCAUGGUCUACCAAGAACCGGUCAAACUUUGUGCGAAAAAAGGUUGGCUUAUAAAUGAAAACAGAUUAUGCUAUUCAAAAGAUAGAUUAUAACACUUAAAACUUUUACUUACCACGAAAUGUAGGAAUUUUUAAAUAACGUUAAAAUUACGAAAUUUUAGAAGUUUUUGUUGAUUGCUGGACUAUCGUACAAUAGAAGAUUGGAAUUAGGAAAUUUUAAAGUGAAAUUUCGAUCGAUGAAUCAAUACAUUCAAUCGAAAACGCCUUAAGGUCGGCAACUAUUUUCUUUUUACCUGGUAGGAUAAUUUACAGAAUGUUAAAAUUGAGGACCACAGAAUUAAUGGGCAAUAUUUGCCAAAAUAGUCGAUUUUAAGUUAAGUUUCUUCUAAUAUCAAUCUACAUCUGGUGCCAAUCUCACUUUUUUCUAAAUUAUUUCUAAGAUUUUUCGAUUGAAUUAAAACUACUCGAAUUCAACAAAUAUAGAUAUGAAAAUUAGAGCGCCGUGACUACUUCAAAGCGCAUAUCCUCGAAGCUAUCGUUCGCGCACUUAACCCCCUCUGAUUUUGAGAAUCUUAAUUGAUCUUUUUUUUUUUAUCAAGAUUAUCCGAAUAAUUUUUCAUCACAAAUAUCCUAUGUUUAUGGAAUUUCCAAGAAUUUUGGUUUCUUUAUUUUUCAUAUCGUAUGAAAGUUUAAUCAACAACUUAGAAAAGGCGUGAAUACAGAGAC
Molecule: long non-coding RNA, 1867 nt
Organism: Uranotaenia lowii
Lineage: Eukaryota; Metazoa; Arthropoda; Insecta; Diptera; Culicidae
Exons: 3
Source: RefSeq, a predicted model, not a curated record